AAGGCAUGGUGAGGUCAUUUCCUAAACUUUUCCUUAAAUCUCUCCCAACUUUCAUAAAUUGAUUCUUCUUCAAACUAGGAAAAGGAAGUGAUAACAUUUUAAAGUAU
Small nucleolar RNA from Dendrobium catenatum, 107 nucleotides. NCBI's taxonomy places the organism in Eukaryota, Viridiplantae, Streptophyta, Magnoliopsida, Asparagales, Orchidaceae. The record is from RefSeq and is a predicted model, not a curated record.